GAAUUCGCCCUUAGAGUUUGAUCCUGGCUCAGGACGAUUGCUGGCGGCGCGCCUAACACAUGCAAGUCGAACGAGCGAGAGAGAGCUUGCUUUCUCGAGCGAGUGGCGAACGGGUGAGUAACGCGUGAGGAACCUGCCUCAAAGAGGGGGACAACAGUUGGAAACGACUGCUAAUACCGCAUAAGCCCACGGCUCGGCAUCGAGCAGAGGGAAAAGGAGCAAUCCGCUUUGAGAUGGCCUCGCGUCCGAUUAGCUAGUUGGUGAGGUAACGGCCCACCAAGGCAACGAUCGGUAGCCGGACUGAGAGGUUGAACGGCCACAUUGGGACUGAGACACGGCCCAGACUCCUACGGGAGGCAGCAGUGGGGAAUAUUGCACAAUGGGGGAAACCCUGAUGCAGCGACGCCGCGUGGAGGAAGAAGGUCUUCGGAUUGUAAACUCCUGUUGUUGGGGAAGAUAAUGACGGUACCCAACAAGGAAGUGACGGCUAACUACGUGCCAGCAGCCGCGGUAAAACGUAGGUCACAAGCGUUGUCCGGAAUUACUGGGUGUAAAGGGAGCGCAGGCGGGAAGACAAGUUGGAAGUGAAAUCUAUGGGCUCAACCCAUAAACUGCUUUCAAAACUGUUUUUCUUGAGUAGUGCAGAGGUAGGCGGAAUUCCCCGGUGUAGCGGUGGAAUGCGUAGAUAUCGGGAGGAACACCAGUGGCGAAGGCGGCCUACUGGGCACCAACUGACGCUGAGGCUCGAAAGUGUGGGUAGCAAACAGGAUUAGAUACCCUGGUAGUCCACACCGUAAACGAUGAUUACUAGGUGUUGGAGGAUUGACCCCUUCAGUGCCGCAGUUAACACAAUAAGUAAUCCACCUGGGGAGUACGACCGCAAGGUUGAAACUCAAAGGAAUUGACGGGGGCCCGCACAAGCAGUGGAGUAUGUGGUUUAAUUCGACGCAACGCGAAGAACCUUACCAAGUCUUGACAUCCCUUGACAGGCAUAGAAAUAUGUUUUCUCUUCGGAGCAAGGAGACAGGUGGUGCAUGGUUGUCGUCAGCUCGUGUCGUGAGAUGUUGGGUUAAGUCCCGCAACGAGCGCAACCCUUAUGGUCAGUUACUACGCAAGAGGACUCUGGCCAGACUGCCGUUGACAAAACGGAGGAAGGUGGGGAUGACGUCAAAUCAUCAUGCCCUUUAUGACUUGGGCUACACACGUACUACAAUGGCGUUAAACAAAGAGAAGCAAGACCGCGAGGUGGAGCAAAACUCAGAAACAACGUCCCAGUUCGGACUGCAGGCUGCAACUCGCCUGCACGAAGUCGGAAUUGCUAGUAAUCGUGGAUCAGCAUGCCACGGUGAAUACGUUCCCGGGCCUUGCACACACCGCCCGUCA
This 1383-nucleotide ribosomal RNA is filed under the name uncultured bacterium. RNAcentral's name for it is "bacterial SSU rRNA". It matches the Rfam family "Bacterial small subunit ribosomal RNA". The record is from RNAcentral.